GACGAACGCUGGCGGCGUGCUUAACACAUGCAAGUCGAGCGGUAAGGCCCUUUCGGGGGUACACGAGCGGCGAACGGGUGAGUAACACGUGGGCGACCUGCCCUCAGCUCUGGGAUAAGCCUGGGAAACCGGGUCUAAUACCGGAUAUGACUCCAUGACGCAUGUUGUGGGGUGGAAAGCCUUGUGCGGCUGAGGAUGGGCCCGCGGCCUAUCAGCUUGUUGGUGGGGUGANGGCCUACCAAGGCGACGACGGGUAGCCGGCCUGAGAGGGCGACCGGCCACACUGGGACUGAGACACGGCCCAGACUCCUACGGGAGGCAGCAGUGGGGAAUCUUGCGCAAUGGGCGAAAGCCUGACGCAGCAACGCCGCGUGAGGGAAGACGGCCUGG
Molecule: ribosomal RNA, 390 nt
Filed under: uncultured bacterium
Lineage: Bacteria
Description: bacterial SSU rRNA
Rfam family: Bacterial small subunit ribosomal RNA
Source: RNAcentral